GACGAACCGUACGAACGUUAUUCGGAAUCACUGGGCUUAAAGGGUGCGUAGGCUGCGCAGCAAGUUGGGUGUGAAAUCCCUCGGCUUAACCGAGGAACUGCGCCCAAAACUGCCGUGCUCGAGGGAGAUAGAGGUGAGCGGAACUUAGGGUGGAGCGGUGAAAUGCGUUGAUAUCCUAAGGAACACCGGUGGCGAAAGCGGCUCACUGGAUCUCUUCUGACGCUGAGGCACGAAAGCUAGGGUAGCGAACGGG
This 253-nucleotide ribosomal RNA is filed under the name uncultured bacterium. RNAcentral's name for it is "partial 16S ribosomal RNA". It matches the Rfam family "Bacterial small subunit ribosomal RNA", at positions 524 to 776 of the family's 1533-position model. The record is from RNAcentral.